AGAUUCAGGCUUUGAGGGAAGGAAACUACCAUGGUUUGAGCCAAAUUGUCCCCAGAUGCAAGGUGGCAUCCUCAGUGAACACCAAGGACAACAUUGCUUUUUAAACAGCAUGGAGGACUGAACCUGACAAGAGCCACUGUGAAGGCUGACUGACUGCAUGUGAGUUAAAACCAAAUUAGGUUGGAUCCUUUUGUUGUUCUUGGCACUAAUCCAUUCCAGAACUCUGAUGGUCAAAAGGAAGAUCAGCAACUUAUCUUGCUUGCUCCACUUAAAUUAAGCAAAGGAGAGCUUGCUGGAUGGUUUGGACAUCUUGUAACUCAAGAAGACAUGGAGGGAGGUAACAGUUGCGGCAUGUGGGAUCUUUGAUCGUCACUGUGGCAUGCGAAAUCUUUAGUUGCAGCAUGUGGGAUCUAGUUCCCUGACCAAGGAUUGAACCCGAGCCUUCUGCAUUGGGAGUGCAGUCUUAGCCACUGGACCACGAGGGAAGUCCCUAAAAUGGUUAAUUUUAUGUUACAUGACUUUUACCUCAAUAAAAUUUUUUUAAAAACCAAACACUUCACCCUGCCAUCUUUUCCUCAUUAAUGAGCAUAAUCUUACCACGAAUGAUUAAGUCCUUGGGGUAGUAAAGUUCCCCAGCACCUGGUCCCAAUCUUUUCUCUCCCAGAGAAUCCCUGCUUGCUUAAGAUUUUCAGGGAGGAAAUGGAAGCAUGACCCAGAGAAUGGGCCCUAGAGUCAGCCUGCCUGAGUUCAAGUGCAGGCACCUCCAUGUUCUCAUCCGUAAAAUGGGGCUGCUAAUGCUACCGGGCUCAUGGGGUUGUUUGAAGAUGGACCAGUAUCGGGCAUGUAGUGUCCGGGCACAGGGAGUGUUUAGAGGCGCUGUCUACUCACCAGGCUGUACUGUCAGGGCAGACCACCCGCUUCUACUGCCACCCGUGCUGCAAAUGUUUAAUGAGCGCCUGCUACAUGCCAGGCACUCUUGUAGGCCUUGGGGAUUCAUCUCUAAGCAAGAACAAUAGAAUUCCUUCUUGGAGUUCACACUCCAGUUGGGGUACAAGACGAUAAACAGACAACGUAAAUAAAAUGCACAGUACGUUGCGUGGUGCCUGCUCAGUUGUUCAGUCAUUUGCGACCCCAUGGGCUGCAGCCCGCCGGGCUCCUCUGUCCAUGGAAUUCUCCAGGCAAGAACACUAGGGUGGGUUGUCAUUUCCUUCUCCAGGGGCUCUUCCCGACCCAUACUAAAGAGGAAAAGAUAAAUAAAGGGUGUGGAUAGGGAGUUUGGGGGAAACAUUAGCAUUUUUUAAUUGGGUGGCCAGAGGUUUCCCUGAGUAAUGUUGAGGGCAGGGAGGUGUCUGCAUCUCUUCUCGCUGCUCUAGCGAGUUAACACGAACUUAGUGGCUGAAAAGAACACAAACGUAGUAUUUUACAUUCUUCAGUUGGUUCAAAAUGGGUCUCAUGGGGCUGAAACCAAGGUGUUGGGGGAGCUGUGUUCCUUCCAGAGGCUCCGGGGAGAAUUUGUACCUUGCCUUUGUGAGCUUCUAGAAGCUGCCCACAUUCCUUGGCUCACAGGCCUGCAUCAUUCCAGCAUCCACCUCUGUCAUCACGCCUUCUUCUCUUUGACAUUUCCUACCUCCCUCUUUUCCUUAUAAAGACCCUU
Long non-coding RNA from Bos taurus (domestic cattle), 1654 nucleotides. Lineage: Eukaryota; Metazoa; Chordata; Mammalia; Artiodactyla; Bovidae. The record is from Ensembl.